This 460-nucleotide ribosomal RNA is filed under the name uncultured bacterium. Its description in RNAcentral is "SSU rRNA". It matches the Rfam family "Bacterial small subunit ribosomal RNA", at positions 26 to 518 of the family's 1533-position model. The record is from RNAcentral.
AGAAUCAACGCUGGCGGCGUGCCUAACACAUGCAAGUCGCACGAGAAAGGGGAGCAAUCCCUGAGUAAAGUGGCGCACGGGUGAGUAACACGUGAAUAAUCUACCUCCGAGUGGGGAAUAACUGAGAGAAAUCUUAGCUAAUACCGCAUAAUACCCACGGGUCAAAGCAGCAAUGCGCUUGGAGAGGAGUUCGCGGCCGAUUAGCUAGUUGGCGGGGUAAUGGCCCACCAAGGCGAUGAUCGGUAUCCGGCCUGAGAGGGCGCACGGACACACUGGAACUGAAACACGGUCCAGACUCCUACGGAGGCAGCAGUGGGGAAUUUUGCGCAAUGGGGGAAACCCUGACGCAGCAACGCCGCGUGGAGGAUGAAAUCCCUUGGGAUGGUAAACUCCUUUCGAUAGGGAAGAUAAUGACGGUACCUAUAGAAGAAGCCCCGGCUAACUUCGCGCCAGCAGCCGC